GGCCCAGUGGUCGGCGCCGGCGACACGGACCCUGAUCGCGCGGCGGGCGCGGGCGAGCUCCUGCGCCCACUGCGGUUCGGCGCCCCGCUGGGCCA
Molecule: transfer RNA, 95 nt
Filed under: Streptomyces griseorubiginosus
Lineage: Bacteria; Bacillati; Actinomycetota; Actinomycetes; Kitasatosporales; Streptomycetaceae
Description: tRNA-Asp(atc)
Source: RNAcentral